This 530-nucleotide ribosomal RNA is filed under the name uncultured fungus. RNAcentral's name for it is "eukaryotic LSU rRNA". The stretch from base 164 to 317 matches the Rfam family "5.8S ribosomal RNA". The record is from RNAcentral. Lineage: Eukaryota; Fungi.
UACCGAGUUUUAACUCCCUAACCCUUCUGUGAACCUACCUAUCGUUGCUUCGGCGGACUCGCCCCAGCCCGGACGCGGACUGGACCAGCGGCCCGCCGGGGACCUCAAACUCUUGUAUUCCAGCAUCUUCUGAAUACGCCGCAAGGCAAAACAAAUGAAUCAAAACUUUCAACAACGGAUCUCUUGGCUCUGGCAUCGAUGAAGAACGCAGCGAAACGCGAUAAGUAAUGUGAAUUGCAGAAUCCAGUGAAUCAUCGAAUCUUUGAACGCACAUUGCGCCCGCCAGCAUUCUGGCGGGCAUGCCUGUUCGAGCGUCAUUUCAACCCUCGACCUCCCCUUGGGGAGGUCGGCGUUGGGGACCGGCAGCACACCGCCGGCCCUGAAAUGGAGUGGCGGCCCGUCCGCGGCGACCUCUGCGCAGUAAUACAGCUCGCACCGGGACCCCGACGCGGCCACGCCGUAAAACACCCAACUUCUGAACGUUGACCUCGAAUCAGGUAGGACUACCCGCUGAACUUAAGCAUAUCAAU